RNAcentral lists this ribosomal RNA (384 nucleotides) under uncultured bacterium. RNAcentral's name for it is "bacterial SSU rRNA". It matches the Rfam family "Bacterial small subunit ribosomal RNA", at positions 124 to 501 of the family's 1533-position model. The record is from RNAcentral.
AUCUGCNUAUUAGUGGGGGACAACGUUCGAAAAGGAACGCUAAUACCGCAUACGUCNUACGGGAGAAAGCAGGGGAUCUUCGGACCUUGCGCUAAUAGAUGAGCCUAAGUCGGAUUAGCUAGUUGGUGGGGUAAAGGCCUACCAAGGCGACGAUCUGUAGCGGGUCUGAGAGGAUGAUCCGCCACACUGGNGACUGAGACACGGCCCAGACUCCUACGGGAGGCAGCAGUGGGGAAUAUUGGACAAUGGGGGGAACCCUGAUCCAGCCAUGCCGCGUGUGUGAAGAAGGCCUUUUGGUUGUAAAGCACUUUAAGCGAGGAGGAGGCUUACCUAGUUAAUACCUGGGAUAAGUGGACGUUACUCGCAGAAUAAGCACCGGCUACU